ACGUUAGCGGCGGACGGGUGAGUAACACGUGGGUAACCUACCUAUAAGGCUGGGAUAACUCCGGGAAACCGGGGCUAAUACCGGAUAACACAUGAAACCGCAUGGUUUCAUGAUGAAAGACGGUUUUGCUGUCACUUAUAGAUGGACCCGCGGCGUAUUAGCUAGUUGGUAAGGUAACGGCUUACCAAGGCAACGAUACGUAGCCGACCUGAGAGGGUGAUCGGCCACACUGGAACUGAGACACGGUCCAG
RNAcentral lists this ribosomal RNA (251 nucleotides) under uncultured Staphylococcus sp. RNAcentral's name for it is "partial 16S ribosomal RNA". It matches the Rfam family "Bacterial small subunit ribosomal RNA", at positions 89 to 334 of the family's 1533-position model. The record is from RNAcentral. Lineage: Bacteria; Bacillati; Bacillota; Bacilli; Caryophanales; Staphylococcaceae.